CCUACGGGCGGCAGCAGUGGGGAAUAUUGGACAAUGGGGGGAACCCUGAUCCAGCCAUGCCGCGUGUGUGAAGAAGGCCCUCGGGUUGUAAAGCACUUUCAGUGAGGAAGAACGCCUGGUGGUUAAUACCCAUCAGGAAAGACAUCACUCACAGAAGAAGCACCGGCUAACUCCGUGCCAGCAGCCGCGGUAAUACGGAGGGUGCGAGCGUUAAUCGGAAUUACUGGGCGUAAAGCGCGCGUAGGUGGCUUGAUAAGCCGGUUGUGAAAGCCCCGGGCUCAACCUGGGAACGGCAUCCGGAACUGUCAAGCUAGAGUGCAGGAGAGGAAGGUAGAAUUCCCGGUGUAGCGGUGAAAUGCGUAGAGAUCGGGAGGAAUACCAGUGGCGAAGGCGGCCUUCUGGACUGACACUGACACUGAGGUGCGAAAGCGUGGGUAGCAAACAGGACUAGAUACCCUAGUAGUC
RNAcentral lists this ribosomal RNA (465 nucleotides) under Vreelandella stevensii. RNAcentral's name for it is "partial 16S ribosomal RNA". It matches the Rfam family "Bacterial small subunit ribosomal RNA", at positions 338 to 795 of the family's 1533-position model. Lineage: Bacteria; Pseudomonadati; Pseudomonadota; Gammaproteobacteria; Oceanospirillales; Halomonadaceae. The record is from RNAcentral.